RNAcentral lists this ribosomal RNA (668 nucleotides) under uncultured organism. Its description in RNAcentral is "bacterial SSU rRNA". It matches the Rfam family "Bacterial small subunit ribosomal RNA", at positions 33 to 673 of the family's 1533-position model. The record is from RNAcentral.
ACGUUGGCGGCGUGCUUUACACAUGCAAGUCCAUGGGAAAGGUUGUCUUCNGGACGGCCGAGUAUACUGGCGAACGGGUGAGUAACGCGUAGGUAACUUGCCUAUCAGUCUGGGAUAACACUGCUAACGCGGUGCUAAUACCGGGUAUACUGCAUAGAUCGCAUGUAUUUUGCAGGAAAGCGGGCCUCUGGAACAAGCUCGUGCUGAUAGAUAGACCUGCGUCCCAUUAGUUAGUUGGUAGGGUACACGGCCUACCAAGGCAGCGAUGGGUAGCCGGCCUGAGAGGGUGACCGGCCACACUGGGACUGAGAUACGGCCCAGACUCCUACGGGAGGCAGCAGUGAGGAAUAUUGCGCAAUGGACGAAAGUCUGACGCAGCAACGCCGCGUGAGGGAUGAAGCUUUUCGGAGUGUAAACCUCUGUUAGGAGGGAAGAACGUCUAUUAUUCGAACAGGGUGAUAGAGUGACGGUACCUCCAGAGAAAGCCCCGGCUAACUCCGUGCCAGCAGCCGCGGUAAUACGGGGGGGGCGAACGUUGUCCGGAAUUAUUGGGCGUAAAGGGCGCGUAGGCGGGAAGGUCAGUCAGAGGUGAAAGCUUGUGGCUUAGCUGCAAGUUUGCCUUUGAUACUGCCAUUCUUGAGUUCGGAAGACGGACGUGGAAUUCCUGG